UACGAAGGGGGCUAGCGUUGCUCGGAAUCACUGGGCGUAAAGCGCACGUAGGCGGAUUCCUAAGUCGGGGGUGAAAUCCUGGAGCUCAACUCCAGAACUGCCUUCGAUACUGGGAAUCUUGAGUCCGGAAGAGGUGAGUGGAACUGCGAGUGUAGAGGUGAAAUUCGUAGAUAUUCGCAAGAACACCAGUGGCGAAGGCGGCUCACUGGCCCGGAACUGACGCUGAGACGCGAAAGCGUGGGGAGCAAACAGG
This 253-nucleotide ribosomal RNA is filed under the name uncultured bacterium. RNAcentral describes it as "partial 16S ribosomal RNA". It matches the Rfam family "Bacterial small subunit ribosomal RNA", at positions 524 to 776 of the family's 1533-position model. The record is from RNAcentral.